RNAcentral lists this unclassified non-coding RNA (424 nucleotides) under Hevea brasiliensis (rubber tree). The record is from RNAcentral. Lineage: Eukaryota; Viridiplantae; Streptophyta; Magnoliopsida; Malpighiales; Euphorbiaceae.
UUAAACCCCCGCCCACUCUGACCCCCCCCUUCCCUUUCCCCCCCCCCCCUGCACCCCCUCCUUAGCCUGUGAAUUGCUAGUAUUAGCUACAGAUUCAGGCACAUUGACUGUUCCGCGACUCAAUCCCCCAUACUGCUGCCCAAAAGAAGAUGAAAAAGGCGCCGGAGAAGGGCUAGCGUGAGGGGCAGGAACACCAAUAGCAACACCACCCCUUUGUUGCGAUGCAGAAAUGGAAGGCGAAGCAGACGAUGACAAGGAAAGGGCAGAGGAAGCUGGAAGAGAAGAAGACGGCGAAGUGAUUGAGGAGAAGUGCGGGAAGUGGGAAUGUGGAUGAGGAUGCUGCCAUGGUCUAUGCAAUGUCUGGGGCCUAGAGGCAGAAGAGUGAGGUUGAGAUUGGGAUGGGGUAGAGGUUGAGGGUCUAGGG